RNAcentral lists this ribosomal RNA (253 nucleotides) under uncultured bacterium. RNAcentral describes it as "partial 16S ribosomal RNA". It matches the Rfam family "Bacterial small subunit ribosomal RNA", at positions 524 to 776 of the family's 1533-position model. The record is from RNAcentral.
UACGUAGGGUGCAAGCGUUGUCCGGAAUUAUUGGGCGUAAAGAGCUCGUAGGCGGUCUGUCGCGUCUGCUGUGAAAACUCGGGGCUUAACCCCGGGCCUGCAGUGGGUACGGGCAGACUAGAGGCAGGUAGGGGAGAACGGAAUUCCCGGUGUAGCGGUGAAAUGCGCAGAUAUCGGGAGGAACACCGGUGGCGAAGGCGGUUCUCUGGGCCUGUACUGACGCUGAGGAGCGAAAGCGUGGGGAGCGAACAGG